GUGCUUGCUUUGGCUGCACAAAUACUAAAUUUUGAACAAUACAGAGAUUAGCAUGGCUCCUGUGCAAGGAUGACACAGAAUUUUAUAAAGCAUUCCAUAUUUUU
Small nuclear RNA from Cricetulus griseus (Chinese hamster), 104 nucleotides. NCBI's taxonomy places the organism in Eukaryota, Metazoa, Chordata, Mammalia, Rodentia, Cricetidae. The record is from Ensembl.